GACGAACGCUGGCGGCGUGCUUAACACAUGCAAGUCGAACGCUGAAGCUCAGCUUUUGUUGGGUGGAUGAGUGGCGAACGGGUGAGUAACACGUGAGUAACCUGCCCCCUUCUUUGGGAUAACGCCCGGAAACGGGUGCUAAUACUGGAUAUUCACUGGUCUUCGCAUGGGGGUUGGUGGAAAGGGUUUUUUUGGUGGGGGAUGGGCUCGCGGCCUAUCAGCUUGUUGGUGGGGUGAUGGCCUACCAAGGCUUUGACGGGUAGUCGGCCUGAGAGGGUGACCGGUCACAUUGGGACUGGGAUACGGCCCAGACUCCUACGGGAGGCAGCAGUGGGGAAUAUUGCAGAAUGGGGGCAAGCCUGAUGCAGCGACGCCGCGUGAGGGAUGGAGGCCUUCGGGUUGUGAACCUCUUUCGCUCAUGGUCAAGCCGCAACAAUGGUUGUGGUGAGGGUAGUGGGUAAAGAAGCGCCGGCUAACUACGUG
This 483-nucleotide ribosomal RNA is filed under the name uncultured bacterium. Its description in RNAcentral is "partial 16S ribosomal RNA". It matches the Rfam family "Bacterial small subunit ribosomal RNA", at positions 28 to 507 of the family's 1533-position model. The record is from RNAcentral.